GACGAACGCUGGCGGCGUGCUUAACACAUGCAAGUCGAACGGAAAGGCCUUUUCGGAGGUACUCGAGUGGCGAACGGGUGAGUAACACGUGGGUGAUCUGCCCUGCACUCUGGGAUAAGCCUGGGAAACUGGGUCUAAUACCGGAUAGGACCGCACUUUAGUGUGUGUGGUGGAAAGUUUUUUCGGUGUAGGAUGAGCCCGCGGCCUAUCAGCUUGUUGGUGGGGUAAUGGCCUACCAAGGCGGCGACGGGUAGCCGGACUGAGAGGUUGGUCGGCCACAUUGGGACUGAGAUACGGCCCAGACUCCUACGGGAGGCAGCAGUGGGGAAUAUUGCACAAUGGGCGCAAGCCUGAUGCAGCGACGCCGCGUGGGGGAUGACGGCCUUCGGGUUGUAAACUCCUUUCGUCAGGGACGAAGCGUUUUGUGACGGUACCUGGAGAAGAAGCACCGGCUAACUACGUG
RNAcentral lists this ribosomal RNA (463 nucleotides) under uncultured bacterium. Its description in RNAcentral is "partial 16S ribosomal RNA". It matches the Rfam family "Bacterial small subunit ribosomal RNA", at positions 28 to 507 of the family's 1533-position model. The record is from RNAcentral.